GCUGUCCUGUGAAUCGUUGACCCACGCAGCUGCAUCCCCGAAACCGUGAAGAUGGCGGCCAGGACCAUGCAAGCAGCCCGAUGCCCGACAGAUGAGCUGUCGCUGACUAAUUGUGCCGUGGUGAGCGAGAAGGAUCUGCAGUCAGGACAACAUGUGACUGUGAAGACCACACCCAACCACAAGUUUGUGUUCACAGUGAAGACCCACCACACGGUGGCACCUGGAAGCAUCGCCUUCAGCCUGCCACAGAGGAAAUGGGCCGGUCUUUCCAUUGGCCAGGAAGUGGAAGUGGCCAACUACAACUUUGACAAGUCAAAGCAGUGCAUUGGCGCCAUGACAAUCGAAAUUGACUUCCUGCAGAAGAAGAGUACUGACUCCUCACCCUACGACUCAGACAAGAUGGCCGCCGAGUUUAUCCAACAGUUCAACAACCAGAGCUUCUCUGUUACCCAGCAGCUGGUGUUUAGUUUCUGCGACAAGCUGUUUGGAUUGAUGGUAAAAGAUAUCGAGGCCAUGGAUGCCAGCAUCCUCAGAGGAGAACCACCUUCUGGAAAGAAACAAAAGAUCGACAUCGGACUGAUGGUGGGUAACAGCCAGGUGAUCUUUGAGAAGGCAGAGAGUUCAUCCCUCACACUAGUUGGUAAGGCAAAGACCAAGGAGGCCCGACAGACCAUCAUCAACCCAGAAUGGAACUUUGAGAAGAUGGGAAUUGGAGGUCUGGACAGGGAAUUCUCCGACAUUUUCCGCAGAGCCUUUGCUUCCCGAGUCUUCCCUCCAGACAUUGUGGAGCAGAUGGGGUGUAAGCACGUGAAGGGCAUCAUGCUGUUUGGGCCUCCUGGCUGUGGUAAGACACUGAUGGCCAGGCAGAUUGGCAAGAUGCUCAACGCCCGCGAGCCCAAGGUCGUCAACGGCCCCGAGAUCCUCAACAAGUACGUUGGAGAGUCUGAGGCCAACAUCCGCAAACUGUUUGCUGACGCAGAGGACGAGCAGAAGAGGCUGGGAGCCAACAGCGGCCUCCAUAUCAUCAUCUUUGAUGAGCUGGAUGCCAUCUGCAAGCAGAGAGGCACAGGCGCCAGCAGCACGGGCGUGCACGACACCGUGGUCAACCAGCUGCUGUCCAAGAUUGACGGCGUGGAGCAACUUAACAACAUCCUGGUCAUCGGUAUGACCAACAGGCCUGACCUGAUAGAUGAUGCCCUGAUGAGGCCUGGCAGAUUUGAGGUCAAGAUGGAAAUUAGUCUGCCUGAUGAGAAGGGGCGUGUCCAGAUCCUGACCAUCCACACCAACAAGAUGCGAGGCUUCGGCCUGCUUGCCCCCGAUGUUGAGAUCAAGGAAUUGGCGGCCGAAACCAAGAACUACAGCGGUGCGGAGCUGGAGGGUCUGGUCAGGGCCGCUCAGUCCACCGCCAUGAACCGACACAUCAAGGCCACAUCUACAGUGGAAGUGGACAUGGAGAAGGCCGAGAAGCUGCAGGUCACCAGAAGUGACUUCAUGGGAUCCCUCAACAACGACAUCAAACCUGCGUUUGGUACGAACCAGGAAGACUACUCCAGCUACAUCAUGAACGGCAUCAUCAAAUGGGGCGACCCGGUCACUCACGUCCUGGAUGAUGGAGAGCUGCUGGUGCAGCAGACCAAGAACAGUGAUCGCACACCGCUGGUGGCUGUGCUAUUGGAAGGCCCACCCCACAGUGGAAAGACGGCCCUGGCAGCCCAGAUUGCAGAGGACUCGGAGUUCCCCUUCAUUAAGAUCUGCUCUCCAGACAAGAUGAUUGGAUUUUCUGAAAUUUCCAAGUGCCAGGCAAUCAAAAAGGUCUUCGAUGAUGCUUAUAAGUCACAGCUCAGCUGCGUGGUGGUUGACGACAUUGAGCGUCUGCUGGACUACGUCCCCAUCGGGCCUCGUUUCUCCAACCUGGUGCUUCAGGCUCUGCUGGUGCUGCUGAAGAAAGCUCCUCCAAAGGGUCGGAAGCUGCUCAUCAUCGGCACCACCAGCAGGAAGGACGUGCUGCAGGAGAUGGAGAUGUUGGACGCCUUCAGCACCACCAUCCACAUCCCCAACAUCUCUACCGGGGAGCAGCUCGUCGACGCUUUAGAGCUGCUGGGGAGCUUCACAGAUAAAGAGCGGGCCAGCAUCGCACAUCAGCUCAAAGGGAAACGAGUGUGGAUCGGUAUCAAGAAGCUCCUGGUGCUCAUCGAGAUGUCACUGCAGAUGGACCAGGAUUACAGAGUGACCAAGUUCCUGUCUCUGCUCAGGGAUGAGGGGGCGUUGAACGAAGGCGAUCAAAUUCGAAUUUAAUGCUGUUGGUCGCUCUCGCUGUGCACUGGAUUUUGAUUGCAGUAGCAGCUUCAGUGACCGCAGCUUCUACGAGUAGAGGGGCUGAAGGAGUGAAGCAAACACCUCGCCACCAACAAACCACCCAUGGGACAAAAUUAAAAUGAGAAAUAAAAAGAGAUCAUCCUCUUGUCUGCCCACCCAUCCGUCCGUCCAUCUACUUAAAUACACACCUGGUCAAAGUGGGGAACACACCAGUCCCCUUCAUCUCAGCAUGUUUCAGUAGGCAGUAUCACUGUAUCAUUGCCAUCAACUUUACUUAUUGACAUAUUACAGCAAACUACUGUAAGUCGUAGUUAAAAAUCUGUUUAUCUGUAAAGAAGUUGCAAUAGAUGAUUGUAAAAAAAGUGAAAAAAAGUGAAAAAAAGUGCUGUUUUGUGCAUCGUGCGGAAAAAAUAACAACAAAAAAAGCCAUGUAUGUUUUUCAGCUGUAGUAUUUGUUGUAUUCGUUGCAUAUCCCCCGUCUGGCUAAAGAUAGUAUGAUAUGUAUCCUUACAGAACACAUGAGCAGAAUAAACAGAGUACAAUGGACACAAAGGUAUUUGAAUAUUUUUAAGAAUUUAAUCUAUGAGAGGCUUUUAGUGAAUAUGUUGUGGCUGUAUAAAAAAAAAGAUGAUCCAUGUGUAAAUGUAAACCCCUUUAAAUCUUACAGUAUGUAACUCAGUCAUGUUCUGUACAUAGUAUAUAUAGACAAAAUAAUUCAAACGAUAUAUAUAUCCUUAUUCCUCCGGAGAUGUUGACUUUACCAGGUUACUGUAAUAGUGAAGUAAAUGUCAGAUUGUGGGCCCGUCUGUCUGUGUUGCGUGCAGUUUGGUUCAGUCUAGCUAUAUUGUAGCUACAACAUCAUCAGUGUUAAAGAUUUAAGAAAGAUUCUGCACUUAUGACAUCGAAUUAAAAACAAAACAAACAACAAACCCUUUAGUACUUAUCUCGGCGGUUCUUUGUGGGAACCCCGAGCUUGUGUCUGCUCUUGUGCAUGCAUGUGGGGAAUCAAACGCUGCAUGUGUCCAGUGUGUCGGAUCGUUUGUGUGCGUGUGUGUGUGUGUGCGUGAGUGUGAGGUGGCAGAACGUGCUUUUGAAUGUGCGCAUGUGUGUUUAAGUGUGUGUGUACAUUUCAAUCUAGGUUUUAGACA
This is an RNA transcript of Anoplopoma fimbria (sablefish), 3464 nucleotides long. It is a transcript of the gene named N-ethylmaleimide-sensitive factor a, with no coding region annotated. NCBI's taxonomy places the organism in Eukaryota, Metazoa, Chordata, Actinopteri, Perciformes, Anoplopomatidae. The record is from RefSeq and is a predicted model, not a curated record. The transcript has 22 exons.